GAUAAACUACACAUUAUUGUUUGCUUCAGUUGUGAUCUUGAUUAUGGGCUAUUUGGUAUUUUGCCUACAAACUGUAUAGUUAAUUAUCUGUUAGCUUUUGUUUUCCUGUCACAGCUUUAUGUUUAUGUGGCUAAUUGUAGCCGAAAGUUUUAUUUAUCAAUCUUAUUUUUCACAGCACAAAUGAAACUGUGUUUCAAGAAUCAGGUGCUCCUACAUCAUUCAAGGAAAUUCGUCGUAGAGGUCUUUCUCUUUACCAGAUUUCGUAGCUGAAGUUUAUGAAGUAAUCAAACCGGUGUUAACUUCUUAUAUAAAGG
Molecule: long non-coding RNA, 314 nt
Organism: Cucumis sativus (cucumber)
Lineage: Eukaryota; Viridiplantae; Streptophyta; Magnoliopsida; Cucurbitales; Cucurbitaceae
Exons: 2
Source: RefSeq, a predicted model, not a curated record